This 446-nucleotide ribosomal RNA is filed under the name uncultured bacterium. Its description in RNAcentral is "partial 16S ribosomal RNA". It matches the Rfam family "Bacterial small subunit ribosomal RNA", at positions 338 to 795 of the family's 1533-position model. The record is from RNAcentral.
CCUACGGGCGGCUGCAGUCGAGAAUCAUUCACAAUGGGGGAAACCCUGAUGGUGCGACGCCGCGUGGGGGAAUGAAGGUCUUCGGAUUGUAAACCCCUGUCAUGUGGGAGCAAAUUAAAAAGAUAGUACCACACGAGGAAGAGACGGCUAACUCUGUGCCAGCAGCCGCGGUAAUACAGAGGUCUCAAGCGUUGUUCGGAAUCACUGGGCGUAAAGCGUGCGUAGGAUGUUUCGUAAGUCGUGUGUGAAAGGCGCGGGCUCAACCCGCGGACGGCACAUGAUACUGCGAGACUAGAGUAAUGGAGGGGGAACCGGAAUGCUCGGUGUAGCAGUGAAAUGCGUAGAUAUCGAGAGGAACACUCGUGGCGAAGGCGGGUUCCUGGACAUUAACUGACGCUGAGGCACGAAGGCCAGGGGAGCGAAAGGGAUUAGAUACCCGGGUAGUC